GAUGAACGCUGGCGGCGUGCCUAAUACAUGCAAGUCGAGUGAACUGGUUAGAAGCUUGCUUCUAUGACGUUAGCGGCGGACGGGUGAGUAACACGUGGGCAACCUGCCUGUAAGACUGGGAUAACUUCGGGAAACCGAAGCUAAUACCGGAUAGGAUCUUCUCCUUCAUGGGAGAUGAUUGAAAGAUGGUUUCGGCUAUCACUUACAGAUGGGCCCGCGGUGCAUUAGCUAGUUGGUGAGGUAACGGCUCACCAAGGCAACGAUGCAUAGCCGACCUGAGAGGGUGAUCGGCCACACUGGGACUGAGACACGGCCCAGACUCCUACGGGAGGCAGCAGUAGGGAAUCUUCCGCAAUGGACGAAAGUCUGACGGAGCAACGCCGCGUGAGUGAUGAAGGCUUUCGGGUCGUAAAACUCUGUUGUUAGGGAAGAACAAGUACGAGAGUAACUGCUCGUACCUUGACGGUACCUAACCAGAAAGCCACGGCUAACUACGUGCCAGCCGCCGCGGUAA
Molecule: ribosomal RNA, 514 nt
Filed under: uncultured bacterium
Lineage: Bacteria
Description: partial 16S ribosomal RNA
Rfam family: Bacterial small subunit ribosomal RNA
Source: RNAcentral